GGUGGCUUAGUGGUAGAGUGCUUGCCUUGCAUGCAUGAGGCUCUGGGUUCAAUUCCUCAGCACCA
RNAcentral lists this transfer RNA (65 nucleotides) under Dipodomys ordii (Ord's kangaroo rat). It matches the Rfam family "tRNA". Rfam says of the family: Transfer RNA (tRNA) molecules are approximately 80 nucleotides in length. Their secondary structure includes four short double-helical elements and three loops (D, anti-codon, and T loops). The record is from Rfam by way of RNAcentral. Lineage: Eukaryota; Metazoa; Chordata; Mammalia; Rodentia; Heteromyidae.